UUGAAUUUAAGCCCUGGUGAAUGGCGGCCGUAACUAUAACGGUCCUAAGGUAGCGAAAUUCCUUGUCGGGUAAGUUCCGACCUGCACGAAUGGCCUAACGAUCUGGGCACUGUCUCAACGAGAGACUCGGUGAAAUUGUAGUAGCGGUGAAGAUGCCGUUUACCCGCAACAAGACGGAAAGACCCCGUGAACCUUUACUGUACUCUGAUAUUGGCUUUUGACGUUCCAUGUGUAGGAUAGCCGGGAGACUAUGAAUACGACUCGUCAGGGUUGUAGGAGUCAACGUUGAAAUACCGGUCUUGGAAGGUCGAAAAUCUAACGAAGCCCAGUGAAUCCUGGGUUCGGACAUUGUCAGACGGGCAGUUUGACUGGGGCGGUAUCCUCCAAAAGAGUAACGGAGGAGUCCAAAGCUUACCUCAUCGUGGUUGGCAAUCACGAGCAGAGCGUAAAGGUAUAAGGUAGGUUAACUGCGAGACCAACAAGUCGAGCAGAUACGAAAGUAGGGCUUAGUGAUCCGGCGGUUGAAAGUGGAAUCGCCGUCGCUUAACGGAUAAAAGGUACUCCGGGGAUAACAGGCUUAUCGCCACCAAGAGUUCAUAUCGACGUGGCGGUUUGGCACCUCGAUGUCGACUCAUCGCAUCCUGGGGCUGGAGAAGGUCCCAAGGGUUUGGCUGUUCGCCAAUUAAAGCGGUACGCGAGUUGGGUUCAAAACGUCGUGAGACAGUUUGGUCCCUAUCUGUUGUGGGCGUAGGAUACUUGAGAAGAGCUGCUUCUAGUACGAGAGGACCGAAGUGGACGAACCAAUGGUGUGCCGGUUGUACUGCCAAGUGCAUAGCCGGGUAGCUAUGUUCGGAAAGGAUAAGCGUUGAAAGCAUCUAAACGCCAAGCCUCCUUCAAGAUAAGGUAUCCCAUGAGACUCCCUGAAGACUACAGGGUCGAUAGGUUGGGUGUGUAAGCAUAGUAAUAUGUUGAGCUGACCAAUACUAAUCAGUCGAUUGGCUUGAUCAC
RNAcentral lists this ribosomal RNA (1008 nucleotides) under Chlamydiota bacterium. RNAcentral describes it as "Chlamydiae bacterium (mine drainage metagenome) partial 23S ribosomal RNA". It matches the Rfam family "Bacterial large subunit ribosomal RNA", at positions 1907 to 2925 of the family's 2925-position model. The record is from RNAcentral. Lineage: Bacteria; Pseudomonadati; Chlamydiota.